Long non-coding RNA from Felis catus (domestic cat), 1712 nucleotides. RefSeq lists it as uncharacterized. The record is from RefSeq and is a predicted model, not a curated record. The transcript has 3 exons. Lineage: Eukaryota; Metazoa; Chordata; Mammalia; Carnivora; Felidae.
GUGCUUUGGAAAGACUUCAAGUAGGGAAAAACUUCUCUUAACAUGGAUUUUACUGUUUUGUUCACAUCCCUUUAUCAGCUGGUUUACCACUUUGUGCUCAAAUGCUGGGCCCAAUGGUUUACACCUGAGGCCUUUGAAGAAUUACUCUUGGCUGACCCUAGCCAGGUCCUCUCACCUGGAAAUGGCUAGAAAAUUAUGCCCUCCAUGCAGGUGUAGACAGUAAAUCCUAGUGGACAAAAACCGGGCUUUCUUGCUUUGAGACGCUGUUGGGCAACUGUAACUCCAAGUUUUGAGUCUGAAUGAAGGGGAAGUAUGGAAGAGCAGCUGCUGCCCUUUACCAUAGACCUGUACCCUCAGCAGUCCUGGGAAAGUAAGAAGCAGGAAGGCCCCCCGGUCAUCAAAGUGAGACUUCAGAUAGCUCAGGUCAUGAUCUCACUGUCAUGAGAUCAAGCCUCACUUUGCGCUGAACACGAGGGAAGUCGCUGCACCAACUGAAGAUGCUGAAAAAAAAAUGAAACUUAAAUAUCAGAGAAUUAUCUGACUUGUGAGAAGGAAGGGAUGAUUAGAAAGACACUGGUGAAACUACACACAAAAAAUAAAAAUAUGAUGAAAUUUGCAUUUAUGUUGGGACUAUAGAUGUCAGUACUUGAGUUUAUUGUAUCUCAGGUAACAGGACACAUUUGCCUAGUAUAUGUUAUCGGCUAUGAGGUGACAUAAUAUUAAGAUUAACCAUUUAUAACUGAAAGAAAUUUAAUAUUGUAAACAUAGAUAACAUACGCUCUUGUUGGAGCUUUUCAAAUUCGAAAUUAACUCCUGAGAUGUCUUAAAGAGUAAGUUAUUGUACUGUGUUGGCUUAGAGAACUACUGGAUUGCUGAAAGACUAAAAAUAUCUUGUACAGUUGGCGCUACUGAAUGUUUGCUGGAUGAACAGUUAAUAAACAAAAUCACAGCAGUGCCACUCCCCAUUGAUUCAGUAUGUUGAUAAAUUACUCAUCUGUAAACAUGAAGACUCUGUACAUAUCUCACUUGCAGAGCUAUACCUACAAAUGAAUGAAUUUUCAGACGUGGCUGGACCUUGUUAUGUAAAUGAUUGAUAACAAACAUAAAAAUAAAUAGUCAAGGUGUUGAAUAAUCUCUUAGAAUCUUAUGGUUCGUCCCAUCAUUUGUGCGGGGGACAUUGGCACUAAUGGUAGGUGAAAGUAUUGGUGCUUCCGUGUCAAUCAAAGCAGUAACGGUAACUGCACCAGUGUUGUUUUCUUUAUCACUGCGCCCUCACAGGAAAAGAAGUGACUGUUACCCUCAAGAAUGUCCUUGAUUAAGUAGUAAAAAUAAUUCUGUUACAGUUCAACCCUUGAGUACAGAUUAUUUUAUAUAUCUGACAAAAUGGGCAGUAUAUAAAGACUUUGUUGCAUGUGAACAAAGUAUAAUACUUGUUUGGGGAAAAAACAAAAACAACCCUUGUGUGAUUGAGCUAUUGAGCUGUGAUAGUAGAUACUAUUUUCAUGGAAAAUGAUUUUUACUUACAAGAAUGGCUAAAAAAGAAACUGUAGUAUUCCACCUUGGCUACUUGACAUCUUAAAAACGAACUAUGUUAGACUCGUCUGAGUGGCUCAGUCUGCUAAGUGUCCGACCCUUGAUUUCAGCUCAGAUCUUGAUUUCAGUUUGUGAGAUCGAGCUCCGUGUCAGGCUCUGCAUUGACAGAGCGGAGCCUG